This 288-nucleotide unclassified non-coding RNA is filed under the name Hornodermoporus martius. RNAcentral's name for it is "partial contains 5.8S ribosomal RNA, internal transcribed spacer 2, and large subunit ribosomal RNA". The record is from RNAcentral. Lineage: Eukaryota; Fungi; Basidiomycota; Agaricomycetes; Polyporales; Polyporaceae.
CGCACCUUGCGCUCCUCGGUAUUCCGAGGAGCAUGCCUGUUUGAGUGUCAUGAAUUUCUCAACUUACAGGCCCUUGUGGUUUGUAAGGUUGGACUUUGGAGGUGUUGUCGGCCAGGCGGUCGGCUCCUCUUAAACGCAUUAGUUCGGUUCCUUGUGGAUCGGCUCUCAGUGUGAUAAUGUCUACGCUGUGGCCGUGAAGUGCUUGGCGAGCUUCUUGACUGUCCCUUGUUUGGGGACGAUUGAUUGACCUCUGACCUCAAAUCAGGUAGGACUACCCGCUGAACUUAA